UCCCGCUCUCCCGCGCUCGCCGCCCUCGGCGCCGGAGCGCGCACCCACCCGGGCGGCAAAGUUGUGACUACUUGAGCGCGGGUGGCUCGCGCCCCGCUCGCUCCGCGCCUCGCGCUGACAAGUUGCCGGGGCUCGGCCCCGCCGCGGCCCGCGCCCGCGCCUCCGGGGAUCCCGGGGGCCCCUAGCCUUCAGGCCCCGAGGCGCGCCGGGCAGUGCUCCGGCGGCGGGGACGGCGGCAGUCGUGGCGGCAGCAAAGGCAGCGGCGGCCGCUGCGGCCCCACACUCGGCUGCCAAACUGGAGGAGCGACGGAAGCCGGACCCCAGGAGGAUGGAGGAUGAAGCCGUCUUGGACAGAGGGGCUUCCUUUCUUAAGCAUGUCUGUGAUGAAGAAGAAGUAGAAGGUGAGCUGAGCUUUAUGGGUCUGGGAAAGUGUAUAUACAUAUACAUGUGUAUCUGUAGAUAAUGGCAUUUAUGCAUGUUUAUAUCUUAUAUUUUUAAAGUAAAAAAAACCUUUCAAUGGAGUUUCAUUUAUAUCCACAUUUUGCUUCAACACAGAACGCAGUUUUAAGAACUUCAUUGGACCAUCAGAAACAGAAGCAGUGUGGUCCUAUGCAGUAUAAAAGGGUCUUAUUUUGAAGCAGAUGCCUAUUUUGGCUGUUCCUCUCCUUCAAAAAUAAAUAUUUUGCCAGUUAAUAUUAACCACG
This 704-nucleotide long non-coding RNA is filed under the name Dasypus novemcinctus (nine-banded armadillo). Its description in RNAcentral is "lncRNA (ENSDNOG00000050141.1)". The record is from RNAcentral. Lineage: Eukaryota; Metazoa; Chordata; Mammalia; Cingulata; Dasypodidae.